This is an RNA transcript of Populus nigra (black poplar), 1394 nucleotides long. RefSeq lists it as uncharacterized. The record is from RefSeq and is a predicted model, not a curated record. The transcript has 3 exons. Lineage: Eukaryota; Viridiplantae; Streptophyta; Magnoliopsida; Malpighiales; Salicaceae.
UCUGUUCAGGGAUUCGUUCUUCUUCUCCACACGCUCCCUGCACACACAAGAAAAGGAAAGGAAAGGAAGAUUGAUUCGUUUCAUAGACAAACGUUUUUUCUUAUCGUCGCCUCCCUCCAAACAUUUGCCAUCCAAAUCCAUCCUUCGAAAAUUAAUUCUCCCCUUUUAGCACUCAAUCAAUCUCUCUCUCUCUCUCUCUCUCUCUCACACAUAUGUUGCAAAAAGGCAUAGUAUAAUCCCAUUUCUUUCUUUUAGGCCUUAAGGUUUCCCUCUGCUCCUCUCCUCUCCUAUCAGAUACCAAAAGAAACAGAUACCCACAAACUCCACCCAUUCUCUCUCUCUCUCUCUCUCUUAAUAUAUGAUCAACAUUUUCUCUCCUUUUCCACUCCAUAACCCCAACAAGAUUUUGAUUCCUAUCGAGAAAAUCAAGAAAUUCUUACUUUCUUUAACCCUUAUAGCAUCUUUUGUUUCCCUAUUUAUUUAUUCUACCCAUUUCACCAACAACGCACCAACAAAUCAAGAAACCAUGAAGGUGCAUCCAUUACCCAAGAAGAGAAACAACAUAACAAUCCAAUUCUACAAUCAUAGAGGAGACCCUUUAGUAUCAUCUUCUGGUGGGUCCCAACACAAGAAACUCAGGAGGCUACCCCACAUAUUCAGCCGGGUCUUAGAACUCCCCUUCCGGUCAGAUGCUGACGUGUCGGUUGAGGAAAAUCCUGAUUGCUUUCGAUUUGUUGCUGAAACAGAUAAUAACAUCGGUGAAGUGAGGGCCCACACCGUUGAAAUCUAUCCUGGAGUAACUAAAAUUGUGAUUAGGCCAAAUGGGUAUCUAGAAUUAUCUCCACUUGAUGAUUUGGAGUUGGAUAUGUGGAGGUUCCGGUUGCCGGAAACCACCAGGCCGGAGCUUGCGAGUGCGGUUCUGGCUGACGGAGAGUUGAUUGUGACGGUUCCGAAAGGAGAGGAAGUGGAGGAGGAAGGGAAUGGUAAUAAUAACAAUGGCGAGUUUAGAGCUUCUGGAAGCUAGUUUCUUAAGGUGGUUGGGACUGGGAUUUGUGUGCUUACCGUUGUCAUUGAUGAUUAAUAAAAUAGUCGAGUAGAUGCAUAUGCUUCGUUUGCACAGUUAGUCAUUAGCGGAAAUGCAAGCUGCAUACCUUGCGCCUGGCCCUAGCAUUCACGAUCUUAUGUUUGACAAUAUGACCGAAGAAAUGAUUGCGUUUAUGAAGACCAGGUUGGGUGGAUCACAAUAAUUGCACCCACCUCCCCGCGUAUAUCAUUGACUCGUCUUGGCGAUUAUGGCUCUUGAAUUUUUUCUGCAUCUUUUCGAAAAGUCGAACAUUAUGAUCGGUUCUUGUAAUGUCAAUAAUUUGUUGAAAUGUAAGCUGAAACGUUUAUUA